AUGCUGUUGAUUUUUAAUUGCACUUGUUGUUUCAUGGUAAUUAGAUCUCUUUUUCAUAUUUAUCUUGUCAUGUUUGCAAAUGAAAGAUAGUGUGGGGUCAUUUUGCCACUAUUAAAGAUGGCUGCACUUUGCAUUCUCUCUUGAUGUUGUGAAUGUUGAUGAUGUGCAUUCUUUUGCUGUUUAUAAAAUUGAGUUUUCUAAAUAUUGUCAGUGGAUGAUGUAUUUUUGACAUCUUAAAAGACUUUGUCAUUUAGAAUGGAUUUUGUUGUUCAUUUUUUAAAUUAUUUUGCUUGCAUAUGGAUGUCUGCCUCUAUAAAUCUAACUUUAUUUAAUUAAUCUUUGUACUUUUUAUUGUUCAAGUACAACAAGCUUCUCAGUUGU
This 381-nucleotide unclassified non-coding RNA is filed under the name Hevea brasiliensis (rubber tree). The record is from RNAcentral. Lineage: Eukaryota; Viridiplantae; Streptophyta; Magnoliopsida; Malpighiales; Euphorbiaceae.